Molecule: ribosomal RNA, 434 nt
Filed under: uncultured bacterium
Lineage: Bacteria
Description: partial 16S ribosomal RNA
Rfam family: Bacterial small subunit ribosomal RNA
Source: RNAcentral
GACGAACGCUGGCGGCGUGCUUAACACAUGCAAGUCGAACGAACCUUUCGGGGUUAGUGGCGGACGGGUGAGUAACACGUGGGAACGUGCCUUUAGGUUCGGAAUAACUCAGGGAAACUUGUGCUAAUACCGAAUGUGCCCUUCGGGGGAAAGAUUUAUCGCCUUUAGAGCGGCCCGCGUCUGAUUAGCUAGUUGGUUGAGGUAAUGGCUCACCAAGGCGACGAUCAGUAGCUGGUCUGAGAGGAUGAUCAGCCACAUUGGGACUGAGACACGGCCCAAACUCCUACGGGAGGCAGCAGUGGGGAAUCUUGCGCAAUGGGCGAAAGCCUGACGCAGCCAUGCCGCGUGAAUGAUGAAGGUCUUAGGAUUGUAAAAUUCUUUCACCGGGGACGAUAAUGACGGUACCCGGAGAAGAAGCCCCGGCUAACUUCGUG